Molecule: unclassified non-coding RNA, 217 nt
Filed under: plant metagenome
Description: partial contains small subunit ribosomal RNA and internal transcribed spacer 1
Rfam family: Eukaryotic small subunit ribosomal RNA (bases 1-46)
Source: RNAcentral
AAGUCGUAACAAGGUUUCCGUAGGUGAACCUGCGGAAGGAUCACUAAAGAGAACUUGCCCUUCGGGGUAGAUCUCCCACCCGUUUGUUUAAUCACCACUUUUGUUGCAUUUGGUCGGGCCAUGACCUCACGGCUGCCGGCGUAAGCUGGCUCGCGCCCGCCAGAGACCCCCAAACUCUGAAUAUUGUCGUCUGAGUAAAUAUAUAAUAAAGUUAAAA